RNAcentral lists this ribosomal RNA (497 nucleotides) under uncultured bacterium. Its description in RNAcentral is "partial 16S ribosomal RNA". It matches the Rfam family "Bacterial small subunit ribosomal RNA", at positions 28 to 507 of the family's 1533-position model. The record is from RNAcentral.
GAUGAACGCUGGCGGCGUGCCUAAUACAUGCAAGUCGAACGAACAGACGAGGAGCUUGCUCCUCUGACGUUAGCCGAAGACGGGUGAGUAACACGUGUAUACCCUACCUGUAAGACUGGGAUCACUUCGAGACACCGGCGCUAAUCCCGUAUAAUAUAUUGCACCACAUGGUUCAAUAGUGAAAGUCGGUGUUGCUGUCACUUCUAGCUGGAUCCCCGCCUGAUUAGCUAGUUGUUGAGUUCACGGCCUACGAAGGCAAGGAUGCGUGGCCGAGCGGAGAGGGGGAUAGGCCACACUGGAAGUGGGACAGCGACCAGGCGCCUACGGGAGGCAGCAGUAGGGAAUCGGACGCAAUGGGCGAAAGCUUGACGGAGCAAGGGCGCGUGAGUGAUGAAGGCCUUCGGAUCGUAAAACUCUGUUAUUAGGGAAGAACAAAUGUGUAAGUAACUAUGCACGUAGUGACGGUACCUAAUCAGAAAGCAACGGCUAACUACGUG